RNAcentral lists this ribosomal RNA (409 nucleotides) under uncultured bacterium. Its description in RNAcentral is "bacterial SSU rRNA". It matches the Rfam family "Bacterial small subunit ribosomal RNA", at positions 355 to 774 of the family's 1533-position model. The record is from RNAcentral.
UGGGGAAUAUUGCACAAUGGGCGAAAGCCUGAUGCAGCGACGCCGCGUGCGGGAUGACGGCCUUCGGGUUGUAAACCGCUUUCGGCAGGGAAGAAGCCGUAAGGUGACGGUACCUGCAGAAGAAGCGCCGGCUAACUACGUGCCAGCAGCCGCGGUAAUACGUAGGGCGCAAGCGUUGUCCGGAAUUAUUGGGCGUAAAGAGCUCGUAGGCGGUUCGUCGCGUCUGCUGUGAAAUCCUCAGGCUCAACCUGGGGCGUGCAGUGGGUACGGGCGGACUGGAGUGCGGUAGGGGUUACUGGAAUUCCUGGUGUAGCGGUGGAAUGCGCAGAUAUCAGGAGGAACACCGAUGGCGAAGGCAGGUCACUGGGCCGCAACUGACGCUGAGGAGCGAAAGCAUGGGGAGCGAACA